CCUACGGGAGGCAGCAGUGAGGAAUAUUGGUCAAUGGGCGGGAGCCUGAACCAGCCAAGCCGCGUGAGGGAAGAAGGUACAGCGUAUCGUAAACCUCUUUUGUCAGGGAACAAAGGCGGGGACUAGUCCCCGGAUGAGGGUACCUGAAGAAAAAGCAUCGGCUAACUCCGUGCCAGCAGCCGCGGUAAUACGGAGGAUGCGAGCGUUAUCCGGAUUUACUGGGUGGAAAGGGAGCGCAGGCGGUAUGGCAAGUCAGAUGUGAAAACCCAGGGCCCAACCCUGGGACUGCAUUUGAGACUGCCAUACUGGAGUGCAGGAGAGGUAAGUGGAAUUCCUAGUGUAGCGGUGAAAUGCGUAGAUAUUAGGAGGAACACCAGUGGCGAAGGCGGCUUACUGGACGGUAACUGACGCUGAGGCUCGAAAGCGUGGGGAGCAAACAGGAUUAGAUACCCCUGUAGUC
RNAcentral lists this ribosomal RNA (460 nucleotides) under uncultured bacterium. Its description in RNAcentral is "partial 16S ribosomal RNA". It matches the Rfam family "Bacterial small subunit ribosomal RNA", at positions 338 to 795 of the family's 1533-position model. The record is from RNAcentral.